RNAcentral lists this long non-coding RNA (368 nucleotides) under Malus domestica (apple). Its description in RNAcentral is "long non-coding RNA (MDOM_LNC020427)". The record is from RNAcentral. Lineage: Eukaryota; Viridiplantae; Streptophyta; Magnoliopsida; Rosales; Rosaceae.
GUGUGGUAUCAUCUUCACUUGCCUUAUAUGUCUCAUAGGUAGAUGUGACAUCUUCUCUGGAAGUACUCUUCCUCCGUCCAGGGGUGGUAUCUUUAACUGGUGGAGAUGCACAAGGUAAUGUAUCAAUUUCACUUGAAGCUUACUUGUAGUUUCAGGCUUGGUCAAGCGCGAUACAAACCAUGUAGUAGGAGUCCCCCAAGUCGCCGAGCUAGGGGAUCUGCUGAAAGAGGUGACAGACAAGGUAAGCAAUCAGAGCUCCAAGCAAUCAGUCCCAGAUCAGAAGUUUGAUUUCGAGUUCCGGCUGAUUGUUCUCAUUUUCCCUAUCUUGUAGGCAGCAUGAAGGAUAAAGAGAAGAAAAAGGAGAAGAG